Molecule: ribosomal RNA, 441 nt
Filed under: uncultured bacterium
Lineage: Bacteria
Description: partial 16S ribosomal RNA
Rfam family: Bacterial small subunit ribosomal RNA
Source: RNAcentral
CCUACGGGAGGCAGCAGUGGGGAAUAUUGCACAAUGGGGGGAACCCUGAUGCAGCGACGCCGCGUGGGUGAAGGAGUAUUUCGGUAUGUAAAGCCCUAUCAGCAGGGAAGAACAAUGACGGUACCUGACUUAGACGCACCGGCUAAAUACGUGCCAGCAGCCGCGGUAAUACGUAGGGUGCAAGCGGUAUCCGGAUUUACUGGGUGUAAAGGGAGCGCAGGCGGCGCGUUAAGCCUGGUGUGAAAGCUCGCGGCCCAACCGCGGGACUGCAUUGGAAACUGGCGCGCUGGAGUGCCGGAGGGGUAGGCGGAAUGCCUAGUGUAGCGGUGAAAUGCGUAGAUAUUAGGAGGAACACCAGUGGCGAAGGCGGCCUACUGGACGGUGACUGACGCUGAGGCUCGAAAGCGUGGGGAGCAAACAGGAUUAGAUACCCCGGUAGUC